RNAcentral lists this ribosomal RNA (497 nucleotides) under uncultured bacterium. RNAcentral describes it as "partial 16S ribosomal RNA". It matches the Rfam family "Bacterial small subunit ribosomal RNA", at positions 28 to 507 of the family's 1533-position model. The record is from RNAcentral.
GAUGAACGCUGGCGGCGUGCCUAAUACAUGCAAGUCGAGCGAACAGACGAGGAGCUUGCUCCUCUGACGUUAGCGGCGGACGGGUGAGUAACACGUGGUUAACCUACCUAUAAGACUGGGAUAACUUACGGAAACCGGUGCUAAUACCGGAUAAUAUAUUCAACCGCAUGGUUCAAUAGUGAAAGACGGUUUUGCUGUACCUUAUAGAUGGCUCCGGGCCGCAUUAGCUAGUUGGUAAGGUAACGGCUUACCAAGGCCACGAUGCGUAGCCGACCUGAGAGGGUGAACGGCCACACUGGAACUGAGACACGGUCCAGACUCCUACGGGAGGCAGCGGUAGGGAAGCGUCCGCAAUGGGCGAAAGCCUGACGGAGCAACGCCGCGUGAGUGAUGAAGGUCUGCGGAUCGUAAAACUCUGUUAUGAGGGAAGAACAAAUGUGUAAGUAACUAUGCACGUCUUGACGGUACCUAAUCAGAAAGCCACGGCUAACUACGUG